This 1660-nucleotide ribosomal RNA is filed under the name Staphylococcus pseudintermedius. RNAcentral describes it as "partial 23S ribosomal RNA". It matches the Rfam family "Bacterial large subunit ribosomal RNA", at positions 1218 to 2878 of the family's 2925-position model. Lineage: Bacteria; Bacillati; Bacillota; Bacilli; Caryophanales; Staphylococcaceae. The record is from RNAcentral.
UUGGACAAUGGUAGGAGAGCGUUCUAAGGGCGUUGAAGCAUGAUCGCAAGGACAUGUGGAGCGCUUAGAAGUGAGAAUGCCGGUGUGAGUAGCGAAAGACGGGUGAGAAUCCCGUCCACCGAUUGACUAAGGUUUCCAGAGGAAGGCUCGUCCGCUCUGGGUUAGUCGGGUCCUAAGCUGAGGCCGACAGGCGUAGGCGAUGGAUAACAGGUUGAUAUUCCUGUACCACCAUUAUUCGUUUUAAGCGAUGGGGGGACGCAGUAGGAUAGGCGAAGCGUGCUGUUGGAGUGCACGUCCAAGCAGUGAGAUUGAGUGUUAGGCAAAUCCGGCACUCUUAAGAUUGAGCUGUGAUGGGGAGAGGAACUUGUUCCUCGAGUCGUUGAUUUCACACUGCCGAGAAAAGCCUCUAGCUAGAAUAACGGUGCCCGUACCGCAAACCGACACAGGUAGUCAAGAUGAGAAUUCUAAGGUGAGCGAGCGAACUCUCGUUAAGGAACUCGGCAAAAUGACCCCGUAACUUCGGGAGAAGGGGUGCUCUUUGAGGUUCACGCUUCGAAGAGCCGCAGUGAAUAGGCCCAAGCGACUGUUUAUCAAAAACACAGGUCUCUGCUAAACCGUAAGGUGACGUAUAGGGGCUGACGCCUGCCCGGUGCUGGAAGGUUAAGAGGAGUGGUUAGCGCAAGCGAAGCUACGAAUCGAAGCCCCAGUAAACGGCGGCCGUAACUAUAACGGUCCUAAGGUAGCGAAAUUCCUUGUCGGGUAAGUUCCGACCCGCACGAAAGGCGUAACGAUUUGGGCACUGUCUCAACGAGAGACUCGGUGAAAUCAUAGUACCGGUGAAGAUGCCGGUUACCCGCGACAGGACGGAAAGACCCCGUGGAGCUUUACUGUAGCCUGAUAUUGAAAUUCGGUACAGUUUGUACAGGAUAGGUAGGAGCCUUAGAAGCGUGAGCGCUAGCUUACGUGGAGGCAUUGGUGGGAUACUACCCUAAUUGUAUUGGAUUUCUAACCCGCAGCACUUAUCGUGCUGGGAGACAGUGUCAGGCGGGCAGUUUGACUGGGGCGGUCGCCUCCUAAAGAGUAACGGAGGCGCUCAAAGGUUCCCUCAGAAUGGUUGGAAAUCAUUCAUAGAGUGUAAAGGCAUAAGGGAGCUUGACUGCGAGACCUACAAGUCGAGCAGGGUCGAAAGACGGACUUAGUGAUCCGGUGGUUCCGCAUGGAAGGGCCAUCGCUCAACGGAUAAAAGCUACCCCGGGGAUAACAGGCUUAUCUCCCCCAAGAGUUCACAUCGACGGGGAGGUUUGGCACCUCGAUGUCGGCUCAUCGCAUCCUGGGGCUGUAGUCGGUCCCAAGGGUUGGGCUGUUCGCCCAUUAAAGCGGUACGCGAGCUGGGUUCAGAACGUCGUGAGACAGUUCGGUCCCUAUCCGUCGUGGGCGUAGGAAAUUUGAGAGGAGCUGUCCUUAGUACGAGAGGACCGGGAUGGACAUACCUCUGGUGUACCAGUUGUCGUGCCAACGGCAUAGCUGGGUAGCUAUGUAUGGACGGGAUAAGUGCUGAAAGCAUCUAAGCAUGAAGCCCCCCUCGAGAUGAGAUUUCCCAACUUCGGUUAUAAGAUCCCUCAAAGAUGAUGAGGUGAAUAGGUUCGAGGUGGAAGCGUAG